This 2160-nucleotide ribosomal RNA is filed under the name Bacillota bacterium. RNAcentral's name for it is "partial 23S ribosomal RNA". It matches the Rfam family "Bacterial large subunit ribosomal RNA", at positions 1 to 2169 of the family's 2925-position model. The record is from RNAcentral. Lineage: Bacteria; Bacillati; Bacillota.
AAGAAAGUAAAUAAGAGCGUAUGGUGGAUGCCUAGGCUCUCAGAGGCGAAGAAGGACGUAACAAGCUGCGAUAAGCUUCGGGGAGGUGCAAAUAACCCUUGAUCCGAAGAUUUCCGAAUGGGGCAACCUGUCAUGAUGAAGUCAUGAAAUCCCUGGCAACAGGGAAGCUAACCCGGUGAACUGAAACAUCUUAUUAGCCGGAGGAAGAGAAAACAAAAGUGAUUCUCCUAGUAGUGGCGAGCGAAAGGGGAAUAGCCCAAACCAUAAUUGUUUCGGCAAUUAUGGGGUAAUAGGACUGCGAUAUGAUUUUUGACUGGAAAUAGAAUUAUCUGGAAAGUUAAACCGAAGAGGGUGAUAGUCCCGUAGAUGAAAAAAGUCAAAGAGCUAGCAGUAUCCUGAGUACCGCGAAACACGAGAAAUUUUGUGGGAAUUUGCCAGGACCAUCUGGUAAGGCUAAAUACUCCUGAGAGACCGAUAGUGAACUAGUACUGUGAAGGAAAGGUGAAAAGCACUUCGAAUAGAAGAGUGAAAUAGUACCUGAAACCAUGCGCUUACAAGCAGUUGGAGUCCGCCUUUGGCGGAUGACAGCGUGCCUUUUGCAUAAUGAGCCUACGAGUUACUCCUCACUAGCGAGGUUAAAGACUUAAGGUCUGGAGCCGAAGCGAAAGCAAGUCUGAAUAGGGCGUAAAGUUAGUGGGGGUAAACGCGAAACUUUGUGAUCUACCCAUGAUCAGGAUGAAGUACUGGUAAAGCGGUAUGGAGGUCCGAACUAGUUGACGUUGAAAAGUCUUUGGAUGAAUUGUGGGUAGGGGUGAAAGGCUAAUCAAACUGAGAAAUAGCUCGUACUCCCCGAAAUGCAUUUAGGUGCAGCCUUGAGGUGAGUGUCAUAGAGGUAGAGCUACUGAUAAGGCUAGAGGGCUUCACGGCCUAUCAAACCUUGACAAACUCCGAAUGCUAUGACAUAUAUUCAGGAGUGAGCCAUUGGGUGCUAAUGUCCAGUGACAAAAGGGGAACAACCCAGACCAUCAGCUAAGGUCCCAAAAUAUAUGCUAAGUUGUAUUAACGAGGUGCGAUUGCAUUGACAGCUAGGAUGUUGGCUUGGAAGCAGCCAUUCAUUUAAAGAGUGCGUAACAGCUCACUAGUCGAGCGAUUGUGCAUGGAUGAUAAUCGGGCAUAAAGCAUAUUACCGAAGCUAUGGUAAUUAGAUGAAAAUUUAAUUAGGUAGGGGAGCAUUCAAGCUGCAGUGAAGAUGUAUCAUAAGGUAUGUUGGAGCGGCUUGAAAAGCAGAUGUAGGCAUAAGUAACGAUAAAGCGGGUGAAAAACCUGCUCACCGAAAGACCAAGGUUUCCUGAUCAACGUUAAUCGGAUCAGGGUUAGUCGGGAGCUAAGACGUAGUCGAAAGGCGAGGUCGAUGACCAACAGGUUAAUAUUCCUGUACUGGCAUAAAUUGCGAUGUGGUAACGAAAGAGUGAAAGUUCCGCGUACUGACGGAAAUGUACGUUGAAGGAGGUAGGUAAAUCUUUAGGUUAAUAGCUUAAGGAUGCCGAGACUGAUAGUACCGUGAGUCUUCGGACAAGCGGAUAGUGAACCUAAUCAAAUUUCCGAGAAAAACCGCUAAGCUUCAGAUUUAUGCCACCCGUACUCUAAACCGACACAGGUGGUCGAGGAGAAUAUCCUAAGGUGCUCGAGUGAUCCAUGGCUAAGGAACUAGGCAAAUUAGUCCUGUAACUUCGGGAAAAAGGACUCCCACGCAAGUGGGACGCAGAGAAAUGGCCCAAGCGACUGUUUAUCAAAAACACAUGGCUAUGCAAAAUCGAAAGAUGAAGUAUAUGGCCUGACACCUGCCCGGUGCUGGAAGGUUAAGAGGGGGAGUCAAUCCUAGCAAUAGGAUGCAGCUUUGAAUCGAAGCCCCAGUAAACGGCGGCCGUAACUAUAACGGUCCUAAGGUAGCGAAAUUCCUUGUCGGGUAAGUUCCGACCUGCACGAAUGGUGUAACGAUUUGGGCACUGUCUCAGCCAUGAGCUCGGUGAAAUUGUAGUCCCGGUGAAGAUGCCGGGUACCCGCAACGGGACGGAAAGACCCCGUGAACCUUUACUGCAACUUAACAUUGAUUUUGGGUAAAUGAUGUGUAGGAUAGGUGGGAGACAGAGAUGCGGCAUC